GCCUGGGUGGCUCAGUCGGUUGAGCAUCUGACUUCGGCUCAGGUCGUGAUCUCAUGGUUUGUGAGUUCGAGCCCCACAUUGGGCU
Molecule: transfer RNA, 85 nt
Filed under: Felis catus (domestic cat)
Lineage: Eukaryota; Metazoa; Chordata; Mammalia; Carnivora; Felidae
Rfam family: tRNA
About the family: Transfer RNA (tRNA) molecules are approximately 80 nucleotides in length.
Source: Rfam by way of RNAcentral